AGCAGCCGCGGUAAUUCCAGCUCCAAUAGCGUAUAUUAAAGUUGUUGCAGUUAAAAAGCUCGUAGUUGAACCUCGGGGUCUACCCAUUGGUCAGGCUUAAUUGUCUGCACUGGUGAGAUGGAUCUCUACCUUCUGAGGAACUUUCAUGCCAUUUAUUUGGUGUGAUGGGAAAUCAGGACUGUUACUUUGAAAAAAUUAGAGUGUUUAAAGCAGACUAUCGUCUGAAUACAUUAGCAUGGAAUAAUGAAAUAGGACGGACUGAUUCUAUUUCGUUGGUUUCUAGGAUCACCGUAAUGAUUAAUAGGGAUAGUUGGGGGCAUUAGUAUUCAAUUGUCAGAGGUGAAAUUCUUGGAUUUAUUGAAGACUAACUACUGCGAAAGCAUUUGCCAAGGAUGUUUUCAUUAAUCAAGAACGAAAGUUAGGGGAUCGAAGACGAUCAGAUAUCGUCGUAGUCUUAACCAUAAACUAUGCCGACUAGGGAUCGGACGAAGUUAAUUUUAUAAUGACGCGUUCGGCACCU
RNAcentral lists this ribosomal RNA (520 nucleotides) under uncultured Glomus. RNAcentral describes it as "SSU rRNA". It matches the Rfam family "Eukaryotic small subunit ribosomal RNA", at positions 569 to 1088 of the family's 1831-position model. Lineage: Eukaryota; Fungi; Glomeromycota; Glomeromycetes; Glomerales; Glomeraceae. The record is from RNAcentral.